This 3536-nucleotide long non-coding RNA is filed under the name Gallus gallus (chicken). Its description in RNAcentral is "lncRNA (ENSGALG00010019672.1)". The record is from RNAcentral. Lineage: Eukaryota; Metazoa; Chordata; Aves; Galliformes; Phasianidae.
CAUUCCUGGGUGUUCCGACCUGCAGGGUGACCUGCACCAAACACCAAAUACUGCUGAGAAGUACUGGUGUAUUUGAGAUGCCGGAGCAGCCCCAGUCCCUUGGCUCUGUGAAAUAGAGAUUCUUGAGCAGUGCUGUUUGCUGGAGUUACGGCACUGCCUCCCCUGCUUUCUCUUACUGUAUCCCUCCUCUGUGGGCUGAGCUCAUCCCAAAUGCCCCAUGUGAGAUCCCUUCUUUCAAAGGCUACUGAAAAUCAGCAGCCAUUGCCACAGAGAUAGUUAACAUGAGCCCUUCCAUGGAAAGGUCCUUUUGAUAUAUGAUAAAGUGGGGUGAAAUUCUUCAGCAAGGUAUGAGGACCGGUGUGACAGAGUGUGCUGAGCAGGGAUGGAGUGCAGCACCUCUUGCAUUUAAAUGUAUUGUAGAAUCACAGAAUCAUUAAGAUUGGAAAAGAGCUCUAAGUCCAUCUAGUCCCACCAUCAACCCAUCACCACCAUGUGCCAAAUGGAGUCUAAAACAGAGCUCAUCCUAAAAUCCAGUGGAUGUUGUUAUGGAGAAUGCCAGUGCAGAGCCCUGCAGGAUUCUCAUGCACUAACGGCUGCACAUUGUGUUUGCCGUUGCAGUUUGCAUUGCAGCACGGCGCUGGUGGAGAAGUAAGACAGCCACAUUCCAGCACCACUGCAAUGACAAACAAGAGAGGGAGACCCUCUGAACCCCAUGGGAGGAUAAGGAUGGUGGCACUUAGCAGGAGCAGAAUCGCAGCCCCUGGGCAUGCAACCCUUGCCCUGCUUAGCCUGACCCCCACACCUGGAACAGCAGACAGCACAGCAGUCCAACAGGUUUGGGUGAUAACUGACCUGGAAAACACCUCUUGCUUAGGAGCUCCCCAGCGUUAUCCCUGCAGGCAGCUGCCCUCAUCCAGCAUCGCUGCAGAGCAGUGCGAGGGGAAUGGCACGGAGCGCAGCGCUGCCAGCAGCUGUGUGUCCCCAUCCUCAGCUGUAUGCUCCCCAAGGAGCCCUCGUGGCAGCUUGUAAGGUUCAUCGUCAGCCUCACAUCGCAUCGUGCUUUGGCUGAAAGUUGAGCUGACUGUGUGCUGUCUCUGUAGGCUCCUGGUGUGCCUCCCCUCCCCGAGCACACAGCGAUGUCUUACGGACAGGACGCGUGUGCUUUGGCUGUAUGAAAUCGUAACGUUCUUUCUAUAGGAGAAAAUAUUUAAUUUUGCUCUAAAUUCCACUAUAACCAAACUGAUCUUCAUUUAUAUCCUGGAUAAUAAAUCACAGCAACGUGAAGUCUCGUGCACAGAACUGAAGUGGUUUCUUAAAGCAAAUUUGGCAGGAAAUAAGUCAUCAUCUUGCAAAGCUGGUUCACUCUCAUACACAGCGCUCCCUGAGCUCUCUGCUCUGAGCUCCGAGCAGGCACGAAAAGUCAUCAUCUUGAAAAAUGGGGAGAGAUCUCUGAGUCGUAGCAAAGCCCUGUGAGAGACACCACAUGAUGCUGCUAUCAAAACAACACAGAACUUGGUCAGAGAAUCACCCCAUGAGUCCUCCCCGACUCCUGGGCUUGCAGUGCACGGGUACUCAGAUAUCACAAGGGCCAUUAGUUUGGCUCCUUAGAAAAAUAAGGUCGUGCUGCUCUCACAUCUUCCCUCUGUGCUUUCCCUCUUUCUUCUUUCCUCCUCAGCUAAUGUUGGGAUUUUUUUUGUCGGCUUUUUUUUUUUGGCCUUUCUUUCUAGUUUCCAUUUCUAUCGUGCAAACAUGCCGCGGCGAAGCGAUGUAAGCAAUGCAUAAUAUAUUUGCAGUAAUGUAUGAUUCAUUUACCAGCUUUCAUAAUUAAUGCGGAUGUGUUUUACAUACACAGAACUUCCUGCCUGCAUUUUAUGAUGUGAACACUCUUCAAAAUCUAAUAAAAUGUAAGCCAUUAAAAACAAUGGUACUUUUCCUGUUACGAGAUUUGUGUGCAGCUUUGCAGCAGGCGCUCGGUGUGAGCUGGUACUCCAAGCACUGAUUUUUUGCUGCUCCUAAUUCCAUGGGUAGAAACGAUCCGUGUUAUUCCAAUGAUACCACCGUGGCUGUGGGUAUCCUCCUGCUUUCAUACCUUGAAAACUUUCCAACCCAAAUACUUAUUCUAUCCGCUGUCUGGAGGUCAGCAACCCAGAUGAAAUUAUGCUGAAUUUGUGAAAAAGAAACUUGCAAAGGCUGUACAGCAGCAUCUGUAAAAUAUCAGUUGAGUAACGCCAGGGUUUCCACCUCCAAGAAUCCUUGUCCUUGCUUGGGGCACACACAGCUCUGGGCCCCAGCACCUUUUUGCAGUGGUAUUUCUGUGUCUAUUUCCCAUCAGUAUCAAUGCCAGGCAGGGGCUGCUGAAGAGCUCAGGCCAUGCACUUUAUCUACACAUUAUUCUCUUCCUCGGGCAAAACUGGAAACCCAAAACUAUUCCGCACCUCAUAUUGAAGCUGAGUUACCCACCGAGCUUUGUUCCUUUAUGCAGAUAGGUUUGGGAGCUCUUCGUUUCCUAUGGUCACACUAUGCAUGCGUGGAAAAUUAAUGCCAACGACAAAACCUCUGCAAGGACGUCAGCACCCACCUGGGGAGCACUGUAGUGAGGCUGUGGAUGUCAGCAGGAAGCCACCGCUUCGUUUGCACCUUUCGUUUUCGACGUUUCAGGGCGAGCUGCAAUACCACAGCCCGCGCGUUAAACGGGAAAUGAAACAGAAAUGGAAAUGAACGCCCGCAUCUGUCCCGUUUUUAAGGUAAAGGCAGAAAUCACCUCGUGUCUCCCAGUCCGGCCACGUUCACCCAAGGAAGGUGGGGAGAAGUCAAUGUCCAGGGAAAAUGUGCAACCAUCAUCUGCAAACGAAGAGUGGGAAAUCCUACGGGAUACGGUGAUGGAGCAAAAGGGGGGGAUGGAAAACAUCUGUACGUCGGUUGAGCAUCGGGAGCCUUUGUGCCCGAGUCGUUUUGGAAGGCGGAGGGGCAUCGGGACUUCCCGUCCCUCCCUGUGCCCUUCCUGUGUUGCGCAGCGGUCACAGAGAAGGACGCACCGGGGAGCGCUGGGCACAGCCGUGUCCCCGAAAUUUGCACCUGCAAAGAGGGAGCGAGCCAGGCGAGGGGAAUGUGCGACGGGAUGGAGAAAUAUCGAAUGUUUCUGGCCGUGUGCGUUGCCAGAGGUUUGCACAUUUUGUCUGAAAACACCCAGAGUUAGAGGCGGAGGGAAGGGAGGGGGGAUUUUAAUAAAAACCAUUUGCCACUUGUCUUCAAUUAGAGUCCAGACAUCGAGCAAUAAGGAAAAAACCUUUUCUAAAAUAUAUAUAUAUAUUAUUAUUAUUAUUAUCUCGCUAGCAGUCGGGCUGAAGAGGUAAAGGCGGUUCGCACGCAACGAUUUCAGGGCAAGGAGUUAAAACGAGCGAGCGAAUUCAGGCGUCGUUGUCGCCGUUCGUGCCGGCUCCUCCUGCCCCGGCAGCUCCCCGCCUCGCCCCGGCACACGCCGCGGAGCUUCGCACCGCUUCCCCGCACGGGAAGGGCUCCUCCGCCCGCGGACGGAC